RNAcentral lists this ribosomal RNA (254 nucleotides) under uncultured bacterium. Its description in RNAcentral is "partial 16S ribosomal RNA". It matches the Rfam family "Bacterial small subunit ribosomal RNA", at positions 524 to 776 of the family's 1533-position model. The record is from RNAcentral.
UACAGAGGAUGCAAGCGUUAUCCGGAAUCAUUGGGCGUAAAGCGUCUGUAGGUGGCUAGUUAAGUCUGUAUGUAAAAUCUCAGGGCUCAACCCUGAAUCUACUAUAGAAACUGAUUAGCUUGAGAUUGGUAGGGGCAGAGGGAAUUCCCAGUGUAGCGGUGAAAUGCGUAGAUAUUGGGAAGAACACCGAUGGCGAAAGCACUCUGCUGGGCCAAUUCUGACAUUGAGAGACGAAAGCUAGGGGAGCAAAUCGG